GUCGUCUUGGUGGAUUUGAUUCCUUCAAAAAUUAUUCCAAUGACGGCAACUCGGCUCUUGACUCGUUCCGGCGGUAUUCACGUGACUCAGUGGGCCAUGGCGAUAAGUUUUCCACUUAUGCCCGAGACACAAACGUUCCUGACCAGAGCUUCAAUACCUACGGCACAAAAGCCACCGGAGGCACCGGAGACUUCACAAGUUACGCCCAAGACGUCAAUGUACCCACCAUGAGAUUCACCUCAUACUCCGACGACGUCAAUGGGCGUGUCCAGACCUUCAAAUCUUACUCCGAGAACGCAAACGCCGGCGAUCAAUCGUUCACUAGUUACGGGAAAAAGGGUAACGGCGCCGAGAA
This 355-nucleotide long non-coding RNA is filed under the name Lactuca sativa (garden lettuce). RNAcentral's name for it is "long non-coding RNA (LSAT_LNC008919)". The record is from RNAcentral. Lineage: Eukaryota; Viridiplantae; Streptophyta; Magnoliopsida; Asterales; Asteraceae.